RNAcentral lists this ribosomal RNA (432 nucleotides) under uncultured bacterium. Its description in RNAcentral is "partial 16S ribosomal RNA". It matches the Rfam family "Bacterial small subunit ribosomal RNA", at positions 29 to 507 of the family's 1533-position model. The record is from RNAcentral.
AACGAACGCUGGCGGCAUGCCUAACACAUGCAAGUCGAACGAGACCUUCGGGUCUAGUGGCGCACGGGUGCGUAACGCGUGGGAACCUGCCCUUAGGUUCGGAAUAACUCCCGAAAGGGGGGCCUAAACCGGGUAAAGUUCUCGGAACAAAGAUUUAUCGCCUUUGGAUGGGCCCGCGUUGGAUUAGCUAGUUGGUAGGGUAAAAGCCUACCAAGGCGACGAUCCAUAGCUGGUCUGAGAGGAUGAUCAGCCACACUGGGACUGAGACACGGCCCAGACUCCUACGGGAGGCAGCAGUGGGGAAUAUUGGACAAUGGGCGAAAGCCUGAUCCAGCAAUGCCGCGUGAGUGAUGAAGGCCUUAGGGUUGUAAAGCUCUUUUACCCGGGAUGAUAAUGACAGUACCGGGAGAAUAAGCUCCGGCUAACUCCGUG